GGGGACGACAGGCUUCGAUCUGGUCGAUCCGUGCGGAUGGUUGCAGGCCGAGGUUCCCGGAGGCCUCGCUAAACACCGGGAAAAACCAAUACGUGCGGACCAUGAGUUCGCCCUCGCCACUUAGCUCAAACUAAGUAGGUGAGAGUCGGCCCUCCCUGGGCCCGUGGGAAGGGGUAC
This 177-nucleotide transfer-messenger RNA is filed under the name Actinomycetes bacterium. RNAcentral describes it as "Actinobacteria bacterium partial transfer-messenger RNA". It matches the Rfam family "transfer-messenger RNA", at positions 1 to 175 of the family's 374-position model. From Rfam's summary of the family: Bacterial tmRNA, also known as 10Sa RNA or SsrA, is named for its dual tRNA and mRNA-like properties. Its role is to liberate the mRNA from a stalled ribosome. The record is from RNAcentral. Lineage: Bacteria; Bacillati; Actinomycetota; Actinomycetes.